This 73-nucleotide transfer RNA is filed under the name Anguilla anguilla (European eel). RNAcentral's name for it is "tRNA-OTHER". The record is from RNAcentral. Lineage: Eukaryota; Metazoa; Chordata; Actinopteri; Anguilliformes; Anguillidae.
GGCGUUGUGGUGCAGUAGUUAGCACUGUUGCCUCACAAGAUGGAGGUUCCUAGUUCAAGUCCUGGCGGGUUUG